RNAcentral lists this ribosomal RNA (497 nucleotides) under uncultured bacterium. Its description in RNAcentral is "partial 16S ribosomal RNA". It matches the Rfam family "Bacterial small subunit ribosomal RNA", at positions 28 to 507 of the family's 1533-position model. The record is from RNAcentral.
GAUGAACGCUGGCGGCGUGCCUAAUACAUGCAAGUCGAGCGAACGGACGAGAAGCUUGCUUCUCUGAUGUUAGCGGCGGACGGGUGAGUAACACGUGGAUAACCUACCUAUAAGACUGGGAUAACUUCGGGAAACCGGAGCUAAUACCGGAUGAUAUUUUGAACCGCAUGGUUCAAAAGUGAAAGACGGUCUUGCUGUCACUUAUAGAUGGAUCCGCGCUGCAUUAGCUAGUUGGUAAGGUAACGGCUUACCAAGGCAACGAUGCAUAGCCGACCUGAGAGGGUGAUCGGCCACACUGGAACUGAGACACGGUCCAGACUCCUACGGGAGGCAGCAGUAGGGAAUCUUCCGCAAUGGGCGAAAGCCUGACGUAGCAACGCCGCGUGAGUGAUGAAGGUCUUCGGAUCGUAAAACUCUGUUAUUAGGGAAGAACAUAUGUGUAAGUAACUGUGCACAUCUUGACGGUACCUAAUCAGAAAGCCACGGCUAACUACGUG